GACGAACGCUGGCGGCGGGCCUCAUACAUGCAAGUCGAGCGCGAAGGUCCGCAAGGAUGAGUAAAGCGGCGCACGGGUGAGUAACACGUGGAUAAUCUACCCCUUGGAUUGGAAUAACCUGUCGAAAGACGGGCUAAUGCCGAGUGAGCUUAUAGUUUCGUGGAGUUACUAUAAGGAAAGAUGGCGCAAGCUAUCGCCGAGGGAUGAGUCUGCGCCCCAUUAGUUAGUUGGUGGGGUAAUGGCUUACCAAGACAAUGAUGGGUACCUGGUUUGAGAGAAUGACCAGGCACACUGGAACUGAAACACGGUCCAGACUCCUACGGGAGGCAGCAGUAGGGAAUAUUGCGCAAUGGACGAAAGUCUGACGCAGCCACGCCGCGUGAGUGAGGAAGGGCCUUCGGGUUGGUUAAAGACGUCUGUCAACAGGAAAAACGGACGUAUCCGGGGAAGGUUACGGGUAGGCGUGGAUGGUACCUGUGGAGGAAGGAC
RNAcentral lists this ribosomal RNA (489 nucleotides) under uncultured bacterium. Its description in RNAcentral is "bacterial SSU rRNA". It matches the Rfam family "Bacterial small subunit ribosomal RNA", at positions 28 to 493 of the family's 1533-position model. The record is from RNAcentral.